Molecule: ribosomal RNA, 880 nt
Filed under: Synergistetes bacterium enrichment culture clone L55B-82
Lineage: Bacteria; Thermotogati; Synergistota
Description: bacterial SSU rRNA
Rfam family: Bacterial small subunit ribosomal RNA
Source: RNAcentral
AGAGUUUGAUCAUGGCUCAGGACGAACGCUGGCGGCGCGCUUAACACAUGCAAGUCGUGCGAUACCUCGAGCGAGUCUUACGACAAGCUCAAGGUAGAGCGGCGGACGGGUGAGUAACACGUGAGUAGCUGUCCUAAGGAGGGGGAUAACGCCUGGAAACGGGUGCUAAAACCCCAUAUGCCUCGCAAGAGGUGAAAAUGUAGCUUGCUACAGCCUUAGGGUGUGCUCGCGGCCUAUCAGCUAGUUGGUGAGGUAACGGCUCACCAAGGCUAAGACGGGUAGCCGGCCUGAGAGGGUGUACGGCCACACUGGAAUUGAGAUACGGUCCAGACUCCUACGGGAGGCAGCAGUGGGGAAUCUUGGGCAAUGGGCGAAAGCCUGACCCAGCGACGCCGCGUUGGGGAUGAAGCCCUUCGGGGUGUAAACCCAUGUUGUAGGGGACGAAGAAAGUGACGGUACCCUACGAGGAAGCCCCGGCUAACUACGUGCCAGCAGCCGCGGUAAGACGUAGGGGGCAAGCGUUGUCCGGAAUUACUGGGCGUAAAGGGCACGCAGGCGGUGCGCCAAGUCGAGGGUGUAAAGUUACGGCUCAACCGUGACAUUGCAAUCGAUACUGGCGCGCUGGAGUGCGGGAGAGGGAAGUGGAAUUCCCGGUGUAGCGGUGAAAUGCGUAGAUAUCGGGAGGAACGCCAGUGGCGAAGGCGGCUUCCUGGCCCGCGACUGACGCUCAUGUGCGAAAGCCAGGGGAGCGAACCGGAUUAGAUACCCGGGUAGUCCUGGCCCGUAAACGAUGGGUGCUAGGUGUAGGCGCGUCAAGCGUCUGUGCCGCAGUUAACGCGAUAAGCACCUCGCCUGGGGAGUACGGUCGCAAGGCUGAAAC